This 74-nucleotide small RNA is filed under the name Gelidibacter algens. RNAcentral describes it as "Flavo-1 RNA". It matches the Rfam family "Flavo-1 RNA". Lineage: Bacteria; Pseudomonadati; Bacteroidota; Flavobacteriia; Flavobacteriales; Flavobacteriaceae. The record is from Rfam by way of RNAcentral.
UUGUGUUAGGGAUGGCAGCGGCAUCCUUUUUGCUUUUUUCAAGCAAAAAGAUAUAGCGUACAGCCCGACCGCGC